UUCCAGACUCCUACGGGAGGCAGCAGUAGGGAAUAUUGCUCAAUGGGGGAAACCCUGAAGCAGCAACGCCGCGUGGAGGAUGAAGGUUUUCGGAUUGUAAACUCCUUUUGUUAGAGAAGAUAAUGACGGUAUCUAACGAAUAAGCAUCGGCUAACUCCGUGCCAGCAGCCGCGGUAAUACGGAGGAUGCGAGCGUUAUCCGGAUUUAUUGGGUUUAAAGGGUGCGUAGGCGGACUGUUAAGUCAGCGGUAAAAGCCCGGGGCUCACCCCCGGCGAGCCGUUGAAACUGGCUGUCUUGAGAUGUCGAGAAGUAUGCGGAAUGCGUGGUGUAGCGGUGAAAUGCAUAGAUAUCACGCAGAACUCCGAUUGCGAAGGCAGCAUACCGGCGCCCGACUGACGCUGAGGCACGAAAGCGUGGGGAUCGAACAGGAUUAGAUACCCUCGUAGC
Molecule: ribosomal RNA, 447 nt
Filed under: uncultured bacterium
Lineage: Bacteria
Description: bacterial SSU rRNA
Rfam family: Bacterial small subunit ribosomal RNA
Source: RNAcentral